GGGCUGUUAGCUCAGCUGGUUUAGAGCACUGCCUCGACAAGGCAGGGGUCAUUGGUUCGAAUCCGAUACAGCCCACAA
This 78-nucleotide transfer RNA is filed under the name Flavobacteriales bacterium. RNAcentral's name for it is "tRNA-Val". It matches the Rfam family "tRNA". Rfam says of the family: Transfer RNA (tRNA) molecules are approximately 80 nucleotides in length. Their secondary structure includes four short double-helical elements and three loops (D, anti-codon, and T loops). The record is from RNAcentral. Lineage: Bacteria; Pseudomonadati; Bacteroidota; Flavobacteriia; Flavobacteriales.